Molecule: long non-coding RNA, 1304 nt
Organism: Astatotilapia calliptera (eastern happy)
Lineage: Eukaryota; Metazoa; Chordata; Actinopteri; Cichliformes; Cichlidae
Source: Ensembl
GGCAAAGGUCUCUGUAGUUGUACAAGGCCAGAAAGGAAAAGCAGUUAUUUACUUAGUCAUUUGCCAAUAUGAAAAGGGACCAGAGGUUACGAGAGGAGGAUGUAGCUAAGAAUUAAAAGUCAACAACUUUGAAUUAAAGUUAUCAUAGUGCAUGUCAGAGAAAUUCUUUGCCAAGCUUAAGUGUGGUUUUUGUCAACAUACCAGCAGAGGUGCUGAAAAUAGCAGCUACAAGGUUAUCCGGGGAAAACAAAGGAAUUGAACAAGUUCAAAGUAUGUGUGCCAGUUAGGAGUCCUGAAGACGAUGAAGCUUUUAUCCCUUAUCUCAGACCACUUGUUGCUCUGUGUCUUCCUGAGUCUACUCUGGGGCACAACUGACUCCAAUACAACAAUCACAUCAACAGUGACGACGACAGUGACAGCAGGACAGAAAAGUACAGCAAAAACAGAAACAAGCACAAGACUAAGAACCAAUCUGCUGACAGCUCCAGAUAAUGUUGACAGAGUGGAUGUGACCACACAAAAUGAGAACAGUAUAACUCUGACCUGGAACAAGGUUAACAACAUCCCAACAUACAUCCUGCAAUAUGGUAAUAUAAGAGAAGAUAUUUAUAAACCUGAAGAAGGACCCAUAGUACAUGUGGUCACUUCUCUGACUGCUGGGACAAACUACACAUUCACUCUCUUCACCAUGUCUGAGGGACUCAACAGCAGUGGAUACAGAUUCAGUGCUGUGACAGCUCCUCGUAAUGCUGACGACUUUAAGAAAAAUGGACAAGAUGAGACCAGCAUAACUCUGGAGUGGAAAACAGUCCCCAACAUCGACAAAUACAUUCUUGCAUUUAAUGAAAGAGAGAUCAAUAUUAGUAAUUCUGAAAACGAAUACAGAGUGUUAAAUUUGACCAGUGGAACCAGAUACACUUUCACUCUCUUCACUGUGUUUGGAAAUGUCAGAAGCAGUGGAGUAAACUGCAUCACAGUCACUGCUCCUCGUAAUGCUGACGACUUUAAGAAAAAUGGACAAAAUGAGACCAGCAUAACUCUGGGGGGGGUGGAAAACAGUCCCCAACAUCGACAAAUACAUUCUUGCAUUUAAUGAAGAGAGAUCAACAUUAGUAAUUCUGAAAAAGAAUACAGAGUGUUAAAUUUGACCAGUGGAACCAGAUACAAUUUCACUCUCUUCACUGUGUUUGAUAAUGUCAGAAGCAGUGGAGUAAACUGCAUCGCAGUUACUGGUGAGAUGUAAUUUCUCUAACAUAGAUAGAUAAACCAGGAUGGACCGGCUCAUUAGUACUUGAAACUUUAGC